Molecule: ribosomal RNA, 491 nt
Filed under: uncultured bacterium
Lineage: Bacteria
Description: partial 16S ribosomal RNA
Rfam family: Bacterial small subunit ribosomal RNA
Source: RNAcentral
GAUGAACGCUGGCUACAGGCUUAACACAUGCAAGUCGAGGGGAAACGCCGGGGAAGCUUGCUUCCCCGGGCGUCGACCGGCGCACGGGUGAGUAACGCGUAUCCAACCUGCCUCUGACUGAGGGAUAACCCGUCGAAAGUCGGCCUAAUACCUCAUGGCAUCGUCUGCGGGCAUCCAACGACGAUUAAAGAUUUCAUCGGUCAGAGAUGGGGAUGCGUCUGAUUAGCUUGUUGGCGGGGUAACGGCCCACCAAGGCGACGAUCAGUAGGGGUUCUGAGAGGAAGGUCCCCCACAUUGGAACUGAGACACGGUCCAAACUCCUACGGGAGGCAGCAGUGAGGAAUAUUGGUCAAUGGGCGAGAGCCUGAACCAGCCAAGUAGCGUGCAGGAUGACGGCCCUAUGGGUUGUAAACUGCUUUUAUGCGGGGAUAAAGUGAGGGACGUGUCCUUCACUGCAGGUACCGCAUGAAUAAGGACCGGCUAAUUCCGUG